Molecule: unclassified non-coding RNA, 392 nt
Filed under: uncultured bacterium
Lineage: Bacteria
Description: contains 16S-23S intergenic spacer region
Source: RNAcentral
UCUAAUCUUUCAUUUAGCAAUCCUCUUUAAUAAAAAUAUAAAGAGCAAGGGUCUCGCCCGUUCACUACGCAUUUAAGCUGACUUCUCACGAAACGAGCUGUCGACAGCCAUGCAGCACCUGAUCGAAGACACCACUGUGCACCAACAUUUCUACGAUGCACAACGCAUCCUAUUGUUUAAACAGGUCUUUCUUCAUUUUUCAAAAACUGGUAAGAUUUUUCGAUUAGUAUCGAAUUAAACCACAUACUCCACCGCUUGUAUAGACUUCCGUCAAUUCCUUUGAGUUUCAACCUUGCGGCCGUAGUCCCCAGGCGGAGUGUUUAACGCGUUAGCUGUUGUAAUUUCGUAUUCAAACUCCACACUUAACACUCAUCGUUUACAGCGUAGACUAC